CUGGUGCCCACUUUCCUGGCCCUGCCUGCCAGUGUUCCUACCUGCAGCCAUCCACUCCAGUUUGCUGUUUGCCACUCAUCUGGCCCCAGAAUUGCUGCCCCGCACUUCCAACUGCUGCCUGCCUGUUUCUGCACCCCAGACCUGUAUGCACGACCCCAGCUGGCUCAUCACCCAGGCUGCUGGUAGCAGACCCAGUUUCUUCAGGAUCAAAAACUGGCUGUGGAUCAUGGCCAGAUAUGAAGAAGAAAUGGAUCUCAUUUUUGGACAAGACAUACACAAGAGCUAUUGCACAGGGCCAAAGAAAAACCAAUCCAGGAUGGAUUGAUGCACUUCCAAGCCAAUGCAAAGGUCUUGAACCUAGUGUGAAGACUCCAGAAGAAUUUUAGGUAAAGAAAGAUGAGACCUCUCUGAAUCCAGAAACUGAACUGUUUGAGAAAACACCAUAAAGAAGCCUCCAGACCACAAGCUGCACAAGAAGAUCAAGAAUGAACUUUGGGUGUA
RNAcentral lists this long non-coding RNA (501 nucleotides) under Monodelphis domestica (gray short-tailed opossum). RNAcentral describes it as "lncRNA (ENSMODG00000040897.1)". The record is from RNAcentral. Lineage: Eukaryota; Metazoa; Chordata; Mammalia; Didelphimorphia; Didelphidae.